RNAcentral lists this transfer RNA (68 nucleotides) under Ictidomys tridecemlineatus (thirteen-lined ground squirrel). Its description in RNAcentral is "Spermophilus tridecemlineatus (thirteen-lined ground squirrel) tRNA". It matches the Rfam family "tRNA". Rfam says of the family: Transfer RNA (tRNA) molecules are approximately 80 nucleotides in length. Their secondary structure includes four short double-helical elements and three loops (D, anti-codon, and T loops). Lineage: Eukaryota; Metazoa; Chordata; Mammalia; Rodentia; Sciuridae. The record is from Rfam by way of RNAcentral. RNAcentral also lists the same sequence under 1 other name.
GGGGUUGUGGCUCAGUGGUAGAGCUCUUGCCUUGCACACAUGAGGCACUGGUUUGAUCCUCAGCACCA